This 1844-nucleotide unclassified non-coding RNA is filed under the name Hevea brasiliensis (rubber tree). The record is from RNAcentral. Lineage: Eukaryota; Viridiplantae; Streptophyta; Magnoliopsida; Malpighiales; Euphorbiaceae.
AAAACCCAGCGAGGUCAGCGAAAUUACACUCACGCUGCCACACAGAGCCAACAAAACCCCCUCUUUUGCGCUCUUUUCAAAGCACAGCCUCCUCCACAAAUAUCUCUGCUCUAGCUGAUUUCUUGUUUCAAAGCUCAGCGAGCGGCGGAGAGAAAAAAACCCACCCCAUAGCAGCCACGCCCAUCAGGGAAAGUCAUAAUGGUUGAUCAAGUUCAAUAUCCAACUGUCAUGCAGAAGGUAGCUGGUCAGCUCCUUCAUUCCAGUCUUCCCCAAGAUUUCCAUGGCUAUGAUGGGGCUUACAAGAGGCCUGCUCUUUAUCAAAGGCGUGCCUAUGGCAACUACUCCAAUGCUGCAUUCCAAUAUUCCAUGGUGAGGGCAUGUGGUGCUGCCACUGACCUAUCUAUUGUUCCAUCAACUGCAUCUUCUGUUUGUGUCCAGGCUCCCUCUGAAAAAGGUUUUGCUAGCUUUGCUAUUGAUUUCCUUAUGGGCGGAGUGUCUGCUGCUGUAUCUAAGACAGCUGCUGCCCCAAUUGAGCGUGUUAAGCUAUUGAUUCAAAACCAAGAUGAGAUGAUUAAAAGUGGCAGACUCUCAGAACCCUACAAGGGCAUUGGUGAUUGUUUUAAGCGAACGAUGAAGGAUGAAGGGAUUGUUUCAUUGUGGAGAGGAAACACUGCCAAUGUCAUCCGCUACUUCCCUACUCAGGCCUUGAACUUUGCAUUCAAAGAUUACUUCAAGAGGCUCUUCAACUUUAAGAAAGACAGAGAUGGUUACUGGAAAUGGUUUGCUGGUAACUUGGCAUCAGGUGGUGCUGCUGGUGCUUCUUCCCUUCUCUUUGUCUACUCCCUAGACUAUGCCAGAACCCGUUUGGCCAAUGAUGCCAAGGCUGCAAAGAAGGGUGGAGAGAGGCAAUUCAAUGGGCUUAUUGAUGUCUAUAGAAAGACAAUGGCAUCUGACGGUAUUGCUGGGCUUUACCGUGGUUUUAACAUUUCUUGUGUUGGAAUCAUUGUUUAUCGUGGUCUGUAUUUCGGAAUGUACGAUUCUCUGAAGCCUGUUGUGUUGACUGGAAAGUUGCAGGUUGGUGAUAUGCUUCCUUUAUGUGUUAUUUUAUUUUAUUUUUUUUCAAUUGAAUGGCUGAUGAGUGCAAGAUUGGCCUUAUUCACCUUGAGUGUAUUCUUGCCAAUGAGUAAAUUUAUCUAUGUAUUUUUUUCCAUUAUCGGAAAUAGUUUCCAUAAUGUGUAAUAAGUUCUUAAUUCAAGGGCCUAAGUCUCUCCAGUUACCUAUGUUGAUUCAGGAAGCUAACAAUGCAGUUGCUUUGACCUGUUACUGAUUCAAACUAAAUUGUGAAGUUAUAUAUAUAUAUAUGUUCUUUUUUUUUUUUUUUGUCAAGACUAAGAAGCUAGAAGUUUAUCCUAGGCUUCAUGAAGGGGUGCUGUAAAUUUUUAGUUUUAUAACAUAUUCUUGUUUUCUAAUGAUUACAGGAUAGUUUCUUUGCUAGCUUUGCCCUUGGUUGGCUCAUCACUAAUGGUGCUGGUCUUGCCUCCUAUCCCAUUGAUACUGUCCGUAGAAGAAUGAUGAUGACCUCUGGUGAAGCUGUCAAGUACAAGAGCUCUCUUGAUGCCUUCUCUCAGAUAUUGAAGAAUGAAGGUGCUAAGUCACUCUUCAAGGGUGCUGGAGCCAACAUUCUUCGAGCCGUUGCUGGUGCAGGUGUGCUUGCUGGUUAUGACAAGUUGCAGCUGAUCGUCUUCGGUAAGAAGUAUGGAUCUGGCGGUGCUUAAGUUGCUCUGAGGUUACUCCAUUUAGCUUUAGAUGUUGAUGAAAAUCUUCAGUUCCGAGAAUUUUGUACG